CUCUACAAAAUUUUUUAAAUAGCUGGGCAUGCUGGUGCAUAUCUGUAGUCCCAGCUACUCAGGAGGCUGGGGAUGGAGGAUCACUUGAGCCCAAGCGUUCCAGGUUACGGUGAGGUAUAGUUACAUCAUUGCACUCCAGCCUGGGUAAAAGAGUGAGACUUUGUCUCAAUAAACAAAAAUGUUUCAAUUAUUAAGCUAUUGUAGGAACUAUUCUAAAUACUUUACAUAGAUUCUCAUUUAGGCUUCAAGAUGGUGUCCUAUGAGAUGGCUACUAUUGCAAUCUUUAUGAAUGAGGAAGCUGAGGCACAGAAAGGCUAAGCAAUAGUUAAACUGCUCUACAUUUGGCCUGUGCCAGUGGCCAUGUGACAGUGGUCACUCUCCUGGUUAACAGAAAAUGCCAGAUUGAUAUCUGCGACAAAGAAAACGGAACACCUUUGAUACAGGCAGUCCGUUGCCAGGAAGAGGCGUGUGCCGUUUUUCUGCUGGAACAUGGCGCCAAUCCAGACCUUAAGGAUAUCUAAGGCAACACUGCUUUCCAUUAUGCUGUGUGUAGUGAGAGCACCUCACUGGCAGAAAAACUGCUUUCACAUGGUGCAAAUAUUGAAGCACCAGACAAGCAUUUUCCGUGAUCUGUGUGUGGAUUUAUUGCCUGCAUCGGAUGAUGAAGACUUGAGUGUUGCUACUAAGCAGUGUGUCCCCGAGAAAGUGUCAGAGCCUUUACCUGGACUUUCCCAUGAAAAAGGAAACAGAAUAGUCAGUGGAAAAGGAAAAGGGCUUCCUGCAAAACAUCCUUCCUUGAAGCCUAGCACUGAAAUGGAAGAUCCUGCUGUGAAAGGAGCAAUACAAAGAGAAUGUUCAGACAUUGAGAGCAGAAGAAGACUUACUAGUGGCUUCAGAGGAAGAGCGAGAAAGGCUUGAAAGAAGUGAAAAGAAGCAACCACAGUUGCACUUUAAAACAAGAAAAUGAAGAAAAAACGAAUGUUAAUAUGCUGUACCAAAAAAAAAAAUAGAGAAGAAUUAGAAAGGAAAGAGAAUGUAAGAAAGAAGUUGAAGCAAACAACUUGAACCCACUGUUCAGUCACUAGAGAUGAAACCGAAGACUGUAAGAAAUACUCCAAAUCAGGAUUUUCAUAAUCAUGAAGAAAUGAAAGAUCUAAUGGAUGAAAAUUGCAUUUUGAAGACAGAUGUUGCUAUACUCAGACGGGAAAUAUGCACAAUGAAAAAUGACAACCUGGAAAAAGAAAAUAAAUGUCUUACGGACAUUAAAAUUGUUAAAGAAAUAAACGCUUACCUUGAAAAGAGUAUAAAACUCAAUGAGGAAACAAUCACAAAAACAGCAUUCCAGUAUUGAUACAAGAGCUUCAUGAUCUCAAGGCUGAGAAUACAGGGCUCAAUUCCAGACUGUUGAGGGAAAAAGAAAGCAAGGCAAGACUGGAAGCUGAAAUUGAAUCGUAUCAGUCUAGACUGGCUGCUGCUGUAAGUAAACACGGUGAAAGUGUGAAAACAGCAAGAAACCUAAGACUUGCUUUAGAGAGAACACAAGACGUUUCUCUACAAGUAAAAAUGACUUCUGAUAUUUCUGAAGUAGAAGAUAAGAAUGAGUUUCUUACUGAACAACUUUCUAAAAUGCAAAUUAAAUUAAUUACCUUAAAAGAUAAGUUCUGUAAGACAAGAGAUACUCUCAGAAAAACGUCAUUGGCUUUAGAAACUGUACAAAACGACCUAAGCCAAACACAGCAGCACGUAAAGGAAAUGAAAGAGAUGUAUCGAAAUGCAGAAGCUGAAGUGAGUAAAUCCACUGGAAAGUGAAACUGUGUAGAAGAGAGGAUACGUCAACUCCAACGUGAAAAUCUGAGGCUUGAACAGCAACUAGAUGAUGUUCAUCAGAAAGAGGAUCAUCAAGAGAUAGUAAUUAAUAUCGAAAGAGGCUCUAUUGAGAGUGGAAAGAAAGACCUCCUGCUAGAAGAGAAAAAUAAGAAGCGAAUGAAAGAAUAUAAUCAUUUAAAAGAAAGUGUCUUUCAGUAUGAGAAAGAGAAAACAAAGAGUAGUAAGUGUCAAGGAAGAUAAAUACUUUCAAAGAAAUAUUCUAGAAAUACUUCUAGAAAGAUAAUUUAAACAUUUGGUUCUGGAUACAUGUCGAACCCAGUUGAAUAUAAAAAUCAAUAGAUAAAGUGUGUUUACCAUACUGUAUAAUUCCAUUUACAUGAAACAUCUAGAAAAGAUAAAUGUAUAGGGACAAAAAGUAGAUUAAUGUUUACAAAGGGUGGGGCUGGAAGCUGGUAGUGACUGCUAAUGGGUAUGAGGGAUUGUGCAGUGAUGGAAAUGCUCUAAAGUUGGGUUGUAGAGAUGGCUGCACAACUCAGUAAAUUUACUAAAAAUCUUUUAACUUUAUGUUAAAACAAAUACUAUAGUGUGUAAAUUAUAUUUCAAUAAAGCUUUUUAAUUAAAAAAAGGAAAAAUGUGUUUAUUAUAUCAGCUUGGAAACAUACCUUGCUUCCAGGAAAUAAAAGGUGGAGCUGAGAGAUGAUUUACUUUGAGAAAAGACAUUGUGUCACCUAUGAAAUUUUCUUAGGCACAGAGUCAUAUUUUAAGGUAGAUAGUCCUGUGCUGCUGAAGCAAUCAUUUUAAUGUCUUUAUGUUGCCACAUGUUAAGACCAUGAUGAAGGUAUAAAUGGAAAUGUUUACAUCUGAAAUGAGUAUUUUCAAAGUAAAAUUUAAGUAAGUGA
Molecule: non-coding RNA, 2726 nt
Organism: Chlorocebus sabaeus (green monkey)
Lineage: Eukaryota; Metazoa; Chordata; Mammalia; Primates; Cercopithecidae
Source: RefSeq, a predicted model, not a curated record